RNAcentral lists this ribosomal RNA (250 nucleotides) under uncultured bacterium. RNAcentral's name for it is "partial 16S ribosomal RNA". It matches the Rfam family "Bacterial small subunit ribosomal RNA", at positions 524 to 776 of the family's 1533-position model. The record is from RNAcentral.
UACGUAGGGGGCUAGCGUUAUCCGGAUUUACUGGGCGUAAAGGGUGCGUAGGUGGUUUCUUAAGUCAGGAGUGAAAGGCUACGGCUCAACCGUAGUAAGCUCUUGAAACUGGGAAACUUGAGUGCAGGAGAGGAAAGUGGAAUCCUAGUGUAGCGGUGAAAUGCGUAGAUAUUAGGAGGAACACCAGUAGCGAAGGCGGCUUCUGGACUGUAACUGACACUGAGGCACGAAAGCGUGGGGAGCAACAGGG